Mesocricetus auratus (golden hamster) is the source of this 104-nucleotide small nuclear RNA. Lineage: Eukaryota; Metazoa; Chordata; Mammalia; Rodentia; Cricetidae. The record is from Ensembl.
UUGCUCCAGCAGCAGAUGCACCAAAGCUGGAAUGACACAAAGAUUAAUUAGCAUGGCUGCUGCACAAAAAUGACACCCAUAUUCAUGAAGCACUUCAUACUUUU